GAACUAAGCGCUGUCAGCGGUACACGUUGACCUAAGCAAACCCUCCCGCUACACCACCUAUACACGUCCUUGGACGUACAGUACAAAAGGUCCUCGAGAAGGUCAAAGCGUAGACCGAACGCUGACCCUGUACCUUGACUUGUCGCGAUGGUGGUGGUGGGGGGAAACAGAGGUGGGGAGGGGUGCGGCACGAACACGUGUCGACUGGCCUGCGUAGUCAAGCGCGGCUGUAGAGAGAAAGCUAGAUGCAGGCGUAGUCAUCACCGCCCAGAGGUCAUGCCCUCGCAUUACCAGUCUCCCGCCUGUUCACCUCACUUUCCUAAAGGGGCCUACGAAGCGCGUUACUCUCUUGCAGGCUGCAUGAGCAUAACACUUCCAAAAGCAUCAGAAACAUCAGAGGCAGAGAAUGGAGAAGAUUCACACAGAACUGCUCAUAACCAACCGUACAAAACUGGUCAAAAACAUUGAUGUGACUAAAGAUCUAUACAGCGAGCUUUUGCAGCGUAAAGUGCUCAAUCAGAUGAUAGUCCGGAACAUCAAAACCAUAACACAUCUAAAAGUGUCAGAACCAUCAGAGGCAGAGAAUGGAGAAGUUUCACGAAGAACUGCUCAUAACCAACCGUGUGAAACUGAUCAAAAACAUCGAUGUGACUAAAGAUCUAUACAGCGAGCUUUUGCAGCGUAAAGUGCUCACCCAGAUGAUAGUCCGGGAGAUCAAAACCAACAAAAACACCUACAGACAAAUUGAAGAGCUCUUAGACAUACUACCAAGACGGGGUCCUCAUGCUUUUGAUCUAUUCUGUGAAUGUUUAAUAGCUACAGGUCAAGAGACUAUUGUGCACUCCAUUCUAAAAGUGAAUCUUGCUGAAGCACCUACAGAAAAGCCUGCAUCAUCCGGCAAAGUAUCCACUGCUCACUCUUAAACACAAGGGUCUUCUAUGGCAACUUUUUGAGUGCAAUCACAUCAUCUAUUGUAUCAAUUACAUCAAUUGCUUUACAACUAAGAAAUGAAGAAAAGGUUUCAGUGGAAAGUGAAGAGGAUCUUGCCUCAGAGACUGAAACUCUUGAUGCUGCUGGACCCAUCAGCCUGCUGGAUAGCAUCAAGCCCAUCUCUGCUAUUAGUGAUGUCUUUUGCCUUUUUUGCAGUUAUUGUUUGGAAUAAUCUGUUGCUGAAGCAUGUUGGUGUGGCAUUUUACCAAGUUGCACGGUCCUUCACUCUUGUGAUUUUUGUAAUGUAAUAAUGGGCACUCACAAGGUGGACAACUAUGGCAUCUCCACAUUUAAAUUAAUUUUGUAAUAGGUAUUCGCCUUGGGUAUAUGUUACAAUAUUUUUGGAAAUAAAAUAUUUGAUUCUUCUAA
This is an RNA transcript of Pomacea canaliculata, 1359 nucleotides long. It is a transcript of the gene named caspase-2-like, with no coding region annotated. Lineage: Eukaryota; Metazoa; Mollusca; Gastropoda; Architaenioglossa; Ampullariidae. The transcript has 4 exons. The record is from RefSeq and is a predicted model, not a curated record.